AAUGGGGGCAACCCUGACCGAGCAACGCCGCGUGAGUGAAGAAGGUUUUCGGAUCGUAAAGCUCUGUUGUAAGAGAAGAACGUGUGUGAGAGUGGAAAGUUCACACAGUGACGGUAACUUACCAGAAAGGGACGGCUAACUACGUGCCAGCAGCCGCGGUAAUACGUAGGUCCCGAGCGUUGUCCGGAUUUAUUGGGCGUAAAGCGAGCGCAGGCGGUUUAAUAAGUCUGAAGUUAAAGGCAGUGGCUUAACCAUUGUUCGCUUUGGAAACUGUUAGACUUGAGUGCAGAAGGGGAGAGUGGAAUUCCAUGUGUAGCGGUGAAAUGCGUAGAUAUAUGGAGGAACACCGGUGGCGAAAGCGGCUCUCUGGUCUGUAACUGACGCUGAGGCUCGAAAGCGUGGGGAGCAAA
Molecule: ribosomal RNA, 410 nt
Filed under: uncultured bacterium
Lineage: Bacteria
Description: bacterial SSU rRNA
Rfam family: Bacterial small subunit ribosomal RNA
Source: RNAcentral